This is a long non-coding RNA of Pipistrellus kuhlii (Kuhl's pipistrelle), 382 nucleotides long. RefSeq lists it as uncharacterized. The record is from RefSeq and is a predicted model, not a curated record. The transcript is spliced from 4 exons. Lineage: Eukaryota; Metazoa; Chordata; Mammalia; Chiroptera; Vespertilionidae.
UCAGUGAUUGAGCAUUGACCUAUGAACCAGGAGAUCAUGGUUUGAUUCCAGGAUGAUGGAAGAUGAUGAUGAUGAUGCAAAGAACAAAUAGAAGCUGAAUUGGACAAAAAUCAGCAUUUCUUCUUUGGAAAAAGAUGAUCUAGAUACUGAUUCAAACUCAGAAACCCAGAGUGAUGAGAGUGAUGCUGUGUCCCCAAUCCCCCUACUCCCUCCUCCGUUUCCUGCUCCCUUGGGCUUCACCACAAUAUUGUCAGUGUCCACAGGGACUGAGUUGAAUUACCAGAGUCAAAUCUUCACUGUAUUGACAUCAUAAAGAAUAAGAGUAAAACUGCUGAAGAGCUCAUUCUUCAGGACUUAGAAGAUACUGAUGUUUUAAGUAAGU